AUUCCAGCUCCAAGAGCGUAUAUUAAAGUUGUUGCAGUUAAAAAGCUCGUAGUUGGAUUUCUGGUACAAUGCGCCUGGCCCGCGGCAGCAAUGCCUGUGAGUGCCGGUGCGCGUUGGCCAUCCUUCUAGAAAACGUUUCUACCAUUAACUUGGCUGGACUCGCGAUCUAGAUCUUUUACUUUGAAAAAAUUAGAGUGUUCAAGGCAGGCUUUUGCUGUGAAUACAUUAGCAUGGAAUAAUAAUCUAGGACUUCGGUUCUAUUUUGUUGGUUUCUAGAAUUGAAGUAAUGAUUGAUAGGGAUAGUUGGGGGUGCUAGUAUUGGCCGGCCAGAGGUGAAAUUCUUGGAUUCGGUCAAGACUAACUUAUGCGAAAGCAUUCACCAAGGAUGUCUUCAUCA
This 397-nucleotide ribosomal RNA is filed under the name Protaspa sp. Its description in RNAcentral is "partial small subunit ribosomal RNA". It matches the Rfam family "Eukaryotic small subunit ribosomal RNA", at positions 582 to 975 of the family's 1831-position model. The record is from RNAcentral. Lineage: Eukaryota; Cercozoa; Thecofilosea; Cryomonadida; Protaspidae.